RNAcentral lists this ribosomal RNA (253 nucleotides) under uncultured bacterium. RNAcentral's name for it is "partial 16S ribosomal RNA". It matches the Rfam family "Bacterial small subunit ribosomal RNA", at positions 524 to 776 of the family's 1533-position model. The record is from RNAcentral.
UACGAAGGGGGCUAGCGUUGCUCGGAAUCAUUGGGCGUAAAGCGCACGUAGGCGGCCUUGUAAGUCGGAUGUGAAAGCCCUGGGCUUAACCCAGGAAGUGCAUUCGAAACUCCCGAGCUUGAGUCUCGGAGAGGAAGGCGGAAUUCUCGGUGUAGAGGUGAAAUUCGUAGAUAUCGAGAGGAACAUCGGUGGCGAAGGCGGCCUUCUGGACGAUGACUGACGCUGAGACGCGAAAGCGUGGGGAGCAAACAGG